GGCUUCUGUAAGUCUUCUUCCUCAAGAAAUCGCGAGAAACAGCGACUCCAACCCAAAAAAUGCGUAUCAGACGCGAACCCAGCAAAAUCAUGUGCUCUCUCCUUCUCCUCUCGUACGAGUAAUGUACUCUAAUUUUCCAGGUGUCUCCAUCUCCUAAUGAAUUCGUCCUUGACUCAAAAUCGAACGAAUCUCCUCCCCAAUCCGUUAGAAUUUGGUAUGAAUUACAGUUCACACCUUAUCCUCCAGAAAAUUUAAAAUCUGAGCUUGUCCCACAUCGUUUCCCUCCUCUAUUUUCGACCUAGAAGUUGUCUUAUAA
RNAcentral lists this unclassified non-coding RNA (316 nucleotides) under Hevea brasiliensis (rubber tree). The record is from RNAcentral. Lineage: Eukaryota; Viridiplantae; Streptophyta; Magnoliopsida; Malpighiales; Euphorbiaceae.